This 724-nucleotide ribosomal RNA is filed under the name Citrobacter sp. wls711. Its description in RNAcentral is "partial 23S ribosomal RNA". It matches the Rfam family "Bacterial large subunit ribosomal RNA", at positions 2219 to 2925 of the family's 2925-position model. Lineage: Bacteria; Pseudomonadati; Pseudomonadota; Gammaproteobacteria; Enterobacterales; Enterobacteriaceae. The record is from RNAcentral.
GUUCUAACGUAGACCCGUGAUCCGGGUUGCGGACAGUGUCUGGUGGGUAGUUUGACUGGGGCGGUCUCCUCCUAAAGAGUAACGGAGGAGCACGAAGGUUAGCUAAUCCUGGUCGGACAUCAGGAGGUUAGUGCAAAGGCAUAAGCUAGCUUGACUGCGAGAGUGACGGCUCGAGCAGGUGCGAAAGCAGGUCUUAGUGAUCCGGUGGUUCUGAAUGGAAGGGCCAUCGCUCAACGGAUAAAAGGUACUCCGGGGAUAACAGGCUGAUACCGCCCAAGAGUUCAUAUCGACGGCGGUGUUUGGCACCUCGAUGUCGGCUCAUCACAUCCUGGGGCUGAAGUAGGUCCCAAGGGUAUGGCUGUUCGCCAUUUAAAGUGGUACGCGAGCUGGGUUUAGAACGUCGUGAGACAGUUCGGUCCCUAUCUGCCGUGGGCGCUGGAGAAUUGAGGGGGGCUGCUCCUAGUACGAGAGGACCGGAGUGGACGCAUCACUGGUGUUCGGGUUGUCAUGCCAAUGGCAUUGCCCGGUAGCUAAAUGCGGAAGAGAUAAGUGCUGAAAGCAUCUAAGCACGAAACUUGCCCCGAGAUGAGUUCUCCCUGACUCCUUGAGAGUCCUGAAGGAACGUUGAAGACGACGACGUUGAUAGGUCGGGUGUGUAAGUGUAGCGAUACAUUGAGCUAACCGAUACUAAUGAACCGUGAGGCUUAACCUUACAACGCCAAAG